This 897-nucleotide ribosomal RNA is filed under the name Triticum aestivum (bread wheat). Its description in RNAcentral is "partial small subunit ribosomal RNA". The record is from RNAcentral. Lineage: Eukaryota; Viridiplantae; Streptophyta; Magnoliopsida; Poales; Poaceae.
AUGGCUAGCCAUGUCGCCACGACUCUGCCGCCGUUGCUGCCUACCCCGGCGCGCUGCCACCUCCUGACGCCUCCUCCGGCGGUGUACACGGCUCGUGUGGAGCUGGACAGCAAGAAGCAGCAGCCUGGACGUGCCUCGAUGAGCCGAAGCUGGAUCAAGGACAAGGCCGACCUUCCUGGACGUGCUUCGCGGAGCUCCAGCUGGGCCACUGACAAGACGCUCCGCCGUGCCGAGAGUUUGAACGGUGGCGUCGAGCGCCUCGGCCGCGUGGAGACGCCGAGGGAAAACUGGAAGAGGCCGGCGAGCCGCGCGCCAUCCGUCGACCGAUGCGACAAGAAGCCGAGGCCUCCCACUGAGAUGGUGGCAGCCUCGCAGGCAUCAAUCUCCGCUGGCCCGAUGUCGUCGGUCGGCCUGUCCGAGAAGAAGGCAGAGCCUAUGACUGAGAUGGUGGCAGACUCGGUGGUGACAUCGUUCGCUGGCCCUGCUCCGUCGAUCGACCGGUCGGAGAAGAAGGCAGAGCCUUCGACUGAGAUGGUGGCAGACUUGGAGGCGGCGACACUCUUGGCUGGCCCUGUGGUGUCGGUCGACUGGUUGGAGAAGAAGGUGACGCCUCCGACCGUGAUGGAGGCAUCGCCCUUCGCCGGCCUCGCUUCGUCGAUCGACCGGUCCAAGAAGAAGCCGGAGCCUCUGACUAAGAUGGAGGAGGACUCGGAGGCAUCAUUCUUUGCUGGCCCGACAUUCAUGGUGUCGCCGGACCCGAGCGAGCUGCCCAUGCCGACCUUCAUUGUGUCGCCGGACCCGAGUGAGCUGCCCAUGCCCACCUUCCUCUAUAAGCACAAGGUCGCUAAAGUUUUAGCUAGAUUAGUCGCUCCGAUGCUCAUUGAUCAGCAAGAUUGA